Long non-coding RNA from Lactuca sativa (garden lettuce), 690 nucleotides. RefSeq lists it as uncharacterized. The record is from RefSeq and is a predicted model, not a curated record. Lineage: Eukaryota; Viridiplantae; Streptophyta; Magnoliopsida; Asterales; Asteraceae.
UAAAGCGAUAAAAUGUCUUGACUCGGUCCAUUGUUCUGACUCGGUCAUGUAAAAGUCAGCUUGUUUGAUAAAGCGAUAAAAUGCUUUGACUCGGUCCAUUGCUGUGACUCGGUCAUGUAAAAUCGUCUGAUUCGGUCGUUCCUAGAAAAGAGAUUGACCGAGAAAUUUCUCCACUUUGCCGUGAAGCUUUGAACUCCCCCCAUCGUGAACGACACAAUGCUAUCUCCUUCAUUGGCCCUUCCUAGCCUGCAACCUCCUUCCUUCUUCGUCUCCUUCUUCCGUCGGCGCCGACCAUUCAAUCGAUUUAUUCUUCCUUUAAUUUUUGCAUGAGAGAGAAUAUCGAUUGGUCGGGAGAAAGAUAGAAAAGGAGAACGUGUUUGCUUUGAUUUUUUUUCUGCAAUGUAGUAAUACCAAGUGACUUUUUUGUAUUGACUACUAUCUCCAUCGAUUUCUAUACACAGUGUGAUCUUUUGAUAGGCUUGUUUAUUGUUGCUUCGUUUCUAGUGCCACAUUUAUGGAAGAGACAAAAAAAUUGGUUUGACUCUUUGAAUUUCCAUGUGAGUUUUGUGUCUAGCUUUUCAACAAUUCUAUUCUUAUUGCUUUCAAUCGUGAUCUUGUUCAUGAUAAAACAUUGUAUCUUGUAAAAACACUACUUUAUAUGAAGUCUACAUUUCCAUGUUGUGUUCCAAA